Molecule: long non-coding RNA, 5783 nt
Filed under: Onthophagus taurus
Lineage: Eukaryota; Metazoa; Arthropoda; Insecta; Coleoptera; Scarabaeidae
Description: uncharacterized LOC111418289, transcript variant X1
Source: RNAcentral
UAGAUAAUUGAUCACUUUACACGAAAAUAAUGCAUAGUACAUUUCAAAUGUCGUAUGUUUAGAAAAUACAAACAUUAAAGCCAAAAGAUAGCAACAAAAUAACGAAAAUCAUCACAACUAUAAAUAGGAUCCGCAAUUAUGUGUUAAGUAAUCUUUGACUGACAAUUUUUUUCUUAAGUGUGCGUCCUGUUUUUGGAACACGCACCAGGACCAUCUUUCGCAAAGUGGACAAAAUUGCUGGCACCGUAAAACAUCGGGUACUGUUUUGAUAAAAAGAAAAUCGCGAAUCUGCAAGUUAUCAAAUUAACAUAUGUUACGUAGAAAUGUUCAGUAAUUAUAACAAACUUUGCCACAAUAUCGAUCUCUAAAAUGAGGGCCUUGACUUUUCGCACGGAUUGUAGGACCCUGAAGUCACUAUCAACGACCCCUUAUAUAUAUGUACUUGAUGAGGCUUUUGCUUCUUCAGCUGGGUACUAUACAAAAGAAGAGAAACAUUUUUUUAAUGAGUGGUACUCUGAAAACUGUUUUCUGUGGCUAAUAUGCCACUUGUUAUUACUGUAUAAUAACUGUUACUUAUAUCGUAAGGUACGAUAUUGUUGUAAAAUUCGAGUGACAACAUUGUGUACGAUGGUUAUCAACCAUCGAGUAUGAGCCAGUUGUGGUCUUGAUAACACAAAAUUCUUGAAAAAGAAAGUAUGUAUCUCUUCCUGUCUCCCAGAAAGUGCCUUGAAGAUGUCUUGAAUAUUAUCAAAAUAUUCAAUUACCGCACCACCAAACGUAAAUGUUCCAGAAUAUUUUUUACAAUAGCAGAAGUUUUUAUGAUAUUGCAUUUUAGCCCUUUAGCAAUUUUUGAAUCAUAACAAACUGUAUAUAAUUUCAAUUCAUUCAAAUUAAUUUCGGAAGCCAUUCUAUGAUGAAUGGUAGAUUAUUCUCUGUCAGUAUGGCAGGUAAACAUAUUUUCACUAAAAUAAAUGUUUUCAUGUAUUAACAAAAAACUAUCAUGUUGACAAAUAUUGUACUUCAUACUCUAUGGUUACCCUCUUUAAAUUCUUCUUUUUGCGUAAUGGCUGGUGUACCCGAUUUUACAAAUGAUAAAAUACUUUUUUGUUUAACAAGUCGUGUUAAAAGUCCUAAUACACUUUUUAUGUUAAUUUGUUUAUCGCACGAUUUGCACAAAGCAGCCCAAACCAGACAAAAGGACUGGUCUUUUUAACUUUUUUCCAACCAACCUUUAAAUGGUAGUAUUCUUUCACAUUCCUAUUUGUAUUUUUGGUCAUAUUUAAUUUUUUUUACUAUAGGUCGAUUUUCGUAAUCACUCGACGAUAAGCAUUGGUAAUCAGUAAGGCACGGAACUUUUGUAACAGAAGGAUACGAUUUCCCCCCUUGACUUGUUCUCAGUGGCUUCCUAGAAAACAAACCCAGAAAACUAGCCAAUGAGAACAAGUGGAGGUGGGAAAUCGUAUCGUUUUCUUACAAAAGUUCUGUGCCCUAGUAAUCAGUCUAAUUUGUUUUGACUACGUUGAAUGAUCAAUUGAUUAGAUGUCUUAGUACAGCCCACAGCGAGUCCAGAUAGGUUAAAUUAUGAACUGUUAAACUAGUCUUAUUGAUCGCAGAUGUUGAGAGAAUCUACCAAUUAAUUAGUAUAUUUGUAUAGUUUUGAGUCUGAUCUACUCAGUUGACUAUUUAAUUUUAUGCUUCCAGUUCAUCUUUAUCUUAGUCUGCUAUCAAGGUAGAGACGAUGAUGAACAUGCUGUAUGGUAAGGUAUAUCUAAUAUCUUUGGAUACUAUCAUCUACCCACUGGCUUUUACUAUUAUCCGACAUAGUUUGAAGCAAAAAUCGGCAAAAAUGUUAUUUUUAUAUAGUUUUCAAAUUAUAUUUUGUACGGUUGAAAUACACUAGAUGUAUGUACUCAUAGAUUGUGUGCAUUUUUAAUCGGCUUAACAUGAAGAGUUGCUCAUUUGAAUUCACGAGUUGUUUUUUUUCUCUAUCUGUUUCCUGAUUAAAUUAUUUAAUUUUUUGUUUCGUUAGAUUGCUUACUCGGUUAAAUUUUCUUUUAUCUGCAAAAUUUCUGGAGUUAUGUCGUAUUCUUCUUGCUUCUUGCUUUUUUAUAACUUAACGUAAUUAACUUCAUAUUAUGUUUUCUUUUGCUACAGGGAGUAGCCUCCUUUAUACUACUCGAAUUUAUUGUAUCAGAUUUUGCGCCUGCGCUUCAAGAUCAUCUUCAUUUUUAAUCUUGCGUUUAAACCAAUUACGUUUUUUAGCCUUACUUUGAACUUGUCCGAAUCACUAUAUUUGUUAGUAAGAUUUUCUUUUAUUGCUUUUUUGAUGACUGUCGCACUAAUGGUUAAUAAAACUGGGACGUGUAAACAUGCCAAUUCACAUUUUGAGUAUUGCUUUGACUUGUUGAGAUGCUCUUAGAGAUGAAGAAGUCCAGCAGGUCUGGCACUUUAUUGUUGUCGGUGGGCCAAUAAGUGGACUCACCACCUGAAUGAUAAGUGAGCAGUUACGGUAUUAAUAUCAUUCAGCAAUUUAAGGCAGUGAAUACCAGGCGUUAUCAACCCAAUACGGUGAGUUUAACAUUGAAGUUUUCUUCAAUUAUGGACCUUGAACCUAAUUUUGCAAACAAUUCUUUGCAUUGUUAUUUCGUCAAGUCAAUUUUUUUCGGCGCUAUUGCUCAUGGUGGCUAGCAUUUCAUACUUUCUUUUGUCCUAUAUAUAUGUAAUACUCCUUUGGAAGUAUUGCAUAUUAUAUUUUAUGAUUACGGUUGUACCUCCUCGAGUAUUUUCAGUCGAAAAGUCGAGGUGAAAAGAAAGUGCUCUAGUUCAUACGUAAUUUUUACCUUUGGCACUCGUUUUGGAACGACUACGAAAUUUAAUCUCUUCGCUAGUACUGUUGGUUCUGAAAAUAUUCACAAACUAAGACCAACAAUGGAUAACUCAACCAUGAACAUCCUAAAAGAGGUACUCCAAAAGAAUGAUACUACGUCGAAGGACAUCCGACGGGCGAACAAGGAGAUGCAGCUACAGACAAUAGAUAUGAAUGCAGCAGGCGCUUAAACUUGUUGAACGAUGGUGUGAAGAACAUACCCUCUCUGUCAAUCCUGAAAAGACAGAGACUGUUCUCUUCGCUAAAUAGAAGAAACUGGGACACUUAACGCCACCAUGGAACCAUGGAACAUUGAAACAUGCAUAUAAAGCUACAUUGCUGCAUCAUUUGCAACGGCUGGCCCGCCUGCUAAUGACAGGCGCUAUAAGAUCUACACCUACGAUUGCAAUGGUGACUAUGUUGAACGUGCUGUCCCUAGAUAUUUUUAUCAGGGAGGUGGGCGUGAUGGCAUUGUUUCGUCUGCGAUCAGUAAAUGACUAGCUGGUUGUUAAAAUGGGAAUAGUCCGGAGCAAGCUCUGAAGUGAGGCUGUUAGUAAACAACCCCUCCUUAAAGGUCGCACAGACUACAUUACACCACUGCAUAAGAUUAUUAUACAUAAGAAAAUUAUAUACACAAAUAGUAGAAAAAAAUACUUUCCAGGCUACCACCAGAGGAUCAGCGUGGCCAUAUAAACAUAUCAUGAAUGAUCCCCUAGUUCACACCGAACUGAGAGAGAGAAAACGAGGAUGAGUAAGUUUUUUAAAGAAUCAAUAGGGAAGUUGAUGGCAGCAUUGUGUGAUAGCGAUUUUAGACGGAAAUGGAUUGGAGGGAUCUCGGUAAGAUUGUAGAGGAGUUUGUUGCUGGGAUUGAAGAGUGGGUUUUGGGGAGUCGGAUCUUUCGGCUACUUCUAGAUGGUAUAGAUGCGUCAGCGAGGAUCAGCGGUGCAUAUUCCACUAUCGGUCCGCAGAUGGUUUUGCAAAUAUGAGCGGCGCAUUUUGUUGAUAUGCCGCGUCCCUGAUAUGUUAACGAUCUGAAGUGCUUUGCUCGAAUUGUCGCUUUCAUCUUUACCUUGAUAGCAUGGUCGGAAAAUUUCAAUCUUGUCUAUCGAGAUUCCCAGGUAUUUACAGCUUGUUGAGGGGGAUAUGAUCGUGGAUUGGAUGGUUACGGAGGGAGAAGGAGCAGGGAUGGGAAGAAAUGGGAUGAAAAAUUGGGUUUUGGAUGGGUUAACUUGGAUUGUUCAUUUUUCCAGCGAACUCUCCGUGGAUUGGAUUAGCGCCUGAAGCCUUUGGAUUGCGGAUGUGAUAUUUGCGCCGUGUGUCACCAAAGUGGUGUCGUCAGCGUAGAGCAGGGAGUAUGAGUCCAAGUCAAAGGUAUCUGGGUUUGGAUUGUAGAUGUCGCAAUAAAACAAGUUAUAGAGAACAUCGAACUGAUUUUAUUAGAUUUGAACUUGUUUCUGAAGAAGGUUGCACCAUACGAAACUUACUAGAUUUAAUUUUGUUUGUACUAAUACCGGCCGUGAAUAAAUACAAGCUUAUAUGAAUACGCUUGUUUUCAAUCCAGUGAAGAAAUGUCAAAAUCAAUCUUUAAAAAUUCAUUCAGACCUUAUUUAUGGGAAUAAAGAAACGAUUUGUAUUAUGAAUUUAUAACUUCUUAAUUCAUAACUUAAGAAGAUACGUAUUUUUAAAAAUUAUGCUGUAAUAAGAAAUAUUCAUUUCAAACAUGUAGUUUAGUAUAUCGCAGUACGUGCAGUGUGUUUAUUGUAUUUUCUUAUGAAAAUAAUUUAAAGUAUACACCAAUAACCUUGCAACACAACGUUUUCAAAAAAACUAUCCCAAAAUAUCUCAUAAUGAAAAUGUGAUGUAAGUAGGUACAUAGAGAAAAGAAACCAACUUAUAAUUUAUUUCUUUUGUAUAGAAGGCUAAGCGAAAGGAAAUUAAAGAGUUGAAUGUUUCCCUUAGUUGGUUUUAUAAAUAAAAUUCAAUCAGAUACGGCAGACAAAUUAUUCAAUUUGAAAUUAAUUUGACACACCUUUUUGUCUUGCGUGGUGAACUUAGUUUUUACUGGAUCGAUACACUGAAUGAGAAAGGUCUUUCUCCGAAUACAGCGUGUUUAGAAAUUCGGUGGCAAACAACCAUCGAUCCUCGAACGUUUUAGCCACCCAACUAUAUAUACAUUCCCCACUCUUCUUCGGUCCGAGUAAAACCGUUCUGUUCGGUCGGGUCUGCCUCGUCUCUUCCAGACUACCUAAAUUGUUUUGUAGCGUUGCUGUAGACGUAGUGCCAUCAAACACGUGCGGCGGUUUAACGAUUUUCCUGCAAUUUCAUUUAAUAUUACGUACAAUGUACCAACAUUUUGAUUAAAUCGUUAGUUAUGUGCGUAUCGAGGUCGUCAAGAAGGAAAGGUUAAGAAUUAUUGUAUCAUGGUAAAUACAUCGUCUUCAUCCCUAAAAGAUUCGAUUAGAUAAUAUGCGUAAACAUAAAUGCGGGAUAGUAUACGGAUCCACACAAUGCCUUUAUCGAAAAGCUUUAUUGUUACUUCUUAUCUUCAUUCUGGUUAUGCUAUGCACAAUUUUUGGAAUUGCAAUUUUCCUGAACGAUACGAAUGGAGAUCAAACCAAUUUAGAGUUUGGAGUCCCAGAAUUUUUAGUCAACACCAAUGAGUGUAAAAUUCCUAACGUCAUACCAUGGAAUUCAGAAUUUAAACCAUUUUAUGAGAAGAAAACUCCCUAUAGGUGCAGCGAUAAAAAAGAAAUGUUAACCAGUAUUAUAUAUGAAGGUGAUCAAGCGUUUCUGUAUAUUAAUAAAUCUGUGGUGCACCUUUACAGUUGGUACUCAAACAAUAUUCAUUGUUGUUAUCAGACAGUUAGAAGAAAAACGAAGGAUGUAGCUGAUAUUGAAAUUACUUAUUCAAACUGUC